This 7585-nucleotide long non-coding RNA is filed under the name Lactuca sativa (garden lettuce). RNAcentral describes it as "long non-coding RNA (LSAT_LNC006762)". The record is from RNAcentral. Lineage: Eukaryota; Viridiplantae; Streptophyta; Magnoliopsida; Asterales; Asteraceae.
UUUCACUUCGCAUGUUUUAACUUCCCAAAUAAUAAUAUUAUUCAAAUCAUCAACAAACGUCGAUCAUACUUUGGAAGUAGGUAUUGAGGCAAGACAGUCAUGAAACCGUCUGUAGAUUGUCUAAGUGUUAGACAUAGCACAAGUUUGCUACAGUAUUCAUGAGUGCUCCUAUAAUAAGAUUUGAGUAUUGGAUUAAACCCAUGCUCAUCUGAAUCACUUCAUGGAUUUUAUCACGAGUGAUUGUGAGACGAUCAUUGAUGGGUUUUGGUCCUAAGAACAUCCUAUGUGCUCAUACAAUCCCUAAUGCUUGGAUCUAGGUUUCUCUAUUGUACAUGCUUGUUAUCCAAGACUAUAAACCCUAAUUCUAGCAUAUGGAAUUCGAUAUUAACAUAUAAUUAGGUUUAUGAUAUUACCUUGAUUGUUAUGUAGCAAUAACAAUCCCAAUUCCUCCUUGAAUUGACUUUGGAAGGCUUAGAGUCACAAGUGUCACUCCUCUAAUGGCUUACAAACACCAUAAGCAAGUGGAGAAGGUAUAAAGAGAGAGGAGAGAGGUAGAAAUUCGUCCUUAGAUGCUCUAGGGACCAAGUGCACGAAAUCCUAAGGCCUUAGGGGUCUUUAUAUAGGGUUGGGAUUAAGGUUUCAGUCCUUAUCCUUAUCUAGUUACUUGCCCAUCAAGCAACCAUAAGAUAAGCCUGGAAAAUCCCUAUCUCUUGGACCUUGGACGAUUUUAAGGAUAUCCUUAUCCUUGAAUUCGUCCAUCCUUUAACAAGGAUAACCAUUGCCCUAUUUUGCAACUAUCACAUAAUUACAAUUCAGCCCCUCUAGUUUAAUUAAUUACAUUUGAUCACAAAAUUAAUUCUUAAUUAAUUAUUGACCAAUAUUAAUUAAACAAAUAUGAUUUCUCCUUUAAUAUAUUAUUCUUAUAACAUAUUAAUAAAUCAUAAUAACCUCUCUCUCUAUUUAUUUCUCCAAUCAAGUUGCUUUGGUGAAGGCAACCCAAAAGGACCAUGCACCAUCGGGUCAAGUACAUACCAAAAUAGUUAUGGACUUAGACACUAAUCCAACAGUCUCCCACUUGGAUAAGUCUAAUAACUAUUCUGCGUAUGACUUCAGAUCCUGAUCUGCAAUCGUAGCUUUCCAAAGCCGCUGUCAACUCUGAUCAUAUCAGAUACGCGUGUCCUUAGAUAAGGGAUCAUAUAUUCCUCCAUUCUAGAUAUCAUAUGAGAUAUGAUUUCAAAUCAUUCUCUUUGUACUAUAUCUCGAUUCCCGAUUUAUGACGACUGACUAAUUGAACAAAUCAAAUUAGCCCUAGCCCGGCCGAGCAUUUACGUUUGUCAUCACUAAAUCAUCGAGGGGCCCAAAGAUAUCGCUUUUAUCCUACUUUGGAUAAAAGGAACGGAUAAACUUUGAUACAAUGCUUGCUUGCACUCACUCACCGAAUCACACACAACAAUAUGUUUUAUAACACCAAGUUACUAGUGCGUUUACAUAUUAUCAAUGUGCAACCGAUUUGCAAGAUACAACUCACACAUCUCGGUUUCAAGAAUAUAAGAUGUUAUCGUCUCACCAAUCACUCGUGAUACAAUUCAUGGAGUGAUCCAAGUGAGCGUGGGUUUAAUCCAAUGCUCAAAUCAUAUUCAUAAGCACUCAUGAACGUUGCAGCAAACAUUUGCUUAUGUCUAAUACUCUUUUAGACAAUCCACACACCAAUUCACGACAGUCUUCAUUCAUAUCUACUUCCAACAUAUGAACGACUGUGGCCCGUUCGAAUAAUUCGAUUAUUCUUAAUAAACUCAAUUAUUCUGGAAGUCAAAACAUGCAAAUGUGAAACACAAGAAUAAUACUAAUCCCAUAUGGCCUCAAACCUUUGAGUAUAAAUAAAACACCUUUUAUUUAUCACCAUAUUGAUUACUCAUUAUUUGUCGUUUCGGGUAAUCAACUUCUUACUUGAAUUACAACACUUGUCCCAUGCUCCUAGCAUGCACACAAUGUUUACCUAUGGUUCUUACUUUGUGAAAUAGAUCACAUUGAACACAUUUCCAAUCAUUCUCAUUUCACAACUCCAAAUCCUUUUUCAUAAGUGUAAGAAUAUCAAAUUCUUGCUACUUAUAGAAUAUGCUAGAUUCUAACAUUCUAUGCAACUAUCCUUUCGUAAUGUCACUGCACCAAAGUCACAAAGACUAUUGCCAAUGAUAUUACAAAGUCCUCUAUCGGAGAUUGUUACAAGACAAUUCCAUAGAUGUGAUGUCUCUCACUCAAAGUACAUUCUUUGAACAUCCUUUUGCAUAGAAGUUUCUAAUCUAGUCAUAGAUUUCUCAAUAUUCAAUUCCCAAUAUGGACACACUUCCAUAUGUUCCAUAUGACAACUCAUUCUUAAUAGAAUCUUAUCUAUUCGUAAUGAUGUCGAUAUGGUCCAUCCAAUAUGGAAACAUUUCCAUAUUUUCCAAUACUAUACUUCCAACUACUCACAAGCGACCAAUCCUCGUCGAACUUUGGAUUGUCCUUUGAUAGUUGUUUAAUUAUUUUAGUCAAAACCGAUUCUAGUCCUUUUUCCCUCUAAAUGCGCUAGACAUUUGGAAAAUUUUAGAAUGGUCAAACAUUAAAGCAUUUGCAAUCGAUCCUAUACCCGAAGCGUAUGGGACACGACGCAUAAUGUUUUAUUUGCUAUGUUCUCAAAAUUCGAAUUGUGAAGAGGGAUGCCGUAAUCAUAAUCGAAAUUUUAAGAACACACUAUGUACCUUUGACUAAAUUUAUUAACAUUUCUCAACCUAAUCCUUUAGAUUUGAAAUGAAGCAUAAUAUUCUCUCCCUUAAUUAUAGCAAAACAACUUUUCAACUCUUACAACUUUGCAAAGUAUGACUCUUGUUUUCUAUAAUUAAUAUUGCUAACCUUGCAAUACUUUCCUUAAUAAUCAUACAAUCAUAACAUUUAUGCUCCCACUAUCAUGAUGAUUAUUAUAAAACAUAACACUUAUGCUCCCACUAGCUUCGACAUGUAUUCAUAAACAUCUUAACUUUCAGAAAACAAUACUUAUUGAAUUUCUUAAGUUCAUGUUUCUAAUACUUAGUGCUUUGAUAAUCCUUUAUCAAUGCUUCUUGAACUUAUACACCUUUGCCUUCGAUAGUUCAUAUGUGUGUCUAAACAAUUAAGACUAAUUGCCAAACCUCACAAUUCAAAUUAUGGAAAGGGAUGCCGUAACCAUAAUUGAAUUCGAGAAUGCAAUUUUACAAUCACUAUCUUCUUAAAAUCUUUCUUAGUGAAAGCAUUUCCUCACAAUCAUUUUCAUGAAGGAGGAAAUCUUAUGACACUUAGAUUUAAACGGUGUAUGUGUUCCUAUCCAUGUGAAUUUGUUAAAACCAAAGUUUACGACAAAUUCAAACUCAUAUGGACCGAACUUUCUUAAUCUUGAUUUCUUGCCUUAUGGUAGCACAGCUGCCCACCAUGUCUUCCAAGUAGUUAAGCAGCUCACCUUUUCCUAUCAAUGUACCUUUCAUUGAUUAAGGUGCUUUGCCUUUUAUGCGUUCAAAAUGAGAACUCAUAGAACUCACAUGCAUAAUUAACUCGAUUGGAUUGGCACAGAAUCAAAAUAAUGUCAACACGAUAGGUUGUAAACCUCAACUCGUGUGCUAGUGAUGAUCGAUAAGGUUUAUUUGAUUUGUUCUUGAAACCUUUCAAGACCAUUAAGACUCCCACUGACUCCUUGACAUAUAAGAUUCUCUUGUCAAUAACCAUUUCUUGACAAACAAAUAUUCAAGAGUUAGUGUAGCUUUUAUCAAAACACUUCAUAAAUUGGUCCUAGUUGGUCUUUGUCUUAUCCAAGACAUCACAACUUUCCACAUUUGAUGAAUGUUAUAAACCUUCUUAAUACUUUUCACUCAAUGUCACAAUCUUAACUUUAAGACUUGUUUUGGAACGAAGUAUGAUUGACUUCUUGAUUUAACCAUUUCUUCAAUUCUUGAUUCCUCUUCUUAGACAUACAAUUGUACUAAGACUCACUUAGAGGAUCAAUUGAGAUAUGGUUCUUAAUCAUUAAGACCUAUCAUAAAGCAUAAAAGGUACUCUCCCUUCUUCUUAGAAUGGAGAAACUUUUAUCUUUCUGCCUACUUGAUUCUUCUUAUUCGUUCUGCUAUUGAUUUAAACCUUUUCAAUCAAUUCAGAAUUACACUUAAUCUUAUAAGUAUAAUCAUAUUUACUAAACCUUUAGUAAAUCAUGACGAAUAUCUUUGUUACUCUUAUGGUGGACUUGAUCAACACGCAACUUUGUGUACUCGAUCUCCUAGUCCUUCACUUGACACUUUGUCAAUGAAUUAGUCUAAUUUCCAAAUAUGAAAUUUCUCAUUCAUCGUGCAACCAAGUUGCAUGAUUCCAAGUUUCUGUCCAAUUGAAACUUGGGCGAUGAGAAACUCUCCCUAUUUGGUAAAUUCUCGACUUUCCAUAAAUAACAUAAUAAGAACCAAAUCCAUUAUUGCUAAUAAUAGAAACAUUCAAACAUCAAUUUUUCAUAUACGCCAUUGCAAGGAUAAAUAAAUAAUAUAAAAUCAAAAUUUAUUUUAUUGCGGAAAAAUUUUUCCUUACAAUGCAAUUCAUUGAAAAACUAUGCUAAUACAUCUUUCUUAGCAAUCUAAUUCUAACUCUAAGUAGUAGCUCAAGAAUCUAAUCUUCGAGAAAUGCGAUCGAAAUCCAUUCCUUCACGGUUAGAUUCUGCUCACUUCUUCCCUUAAGCUUCCUUUCUUUUCUUCGAUCCUACAAAACAUCAAUUGUAAUCUUAUCACAUUAUGUAUUAAGAAUCUAGAAUAGAAGCUUAAAAGAGUUAGUUAAUGGAUUUUACCUAUAUUAGAGCCAUACGUUUCGACUCUCCCAUCUCUUAGAUCUCUUAGGUAAAUGGGGCAGCUUCGUCUCCAAUGCCCUUUCUCUUGGCAAUAAAAGCAAAUUGACUCUUUUGGAACAUGACAUGGAACUACUUCAGACAUUGCCUUUCUCUUAUGAUCAAACUUUUCGAUCAUAGCAUGUCUUUCGUUGCCAUUGUCUAUAUCCAUAGAGGUCUUGAAGGCAGAUUCACCAAUCAACUUUGCUUUUCUAUUGCGCCAAACCAUUGCUGAUUCAGCAGCAAUAAGCAUAUAGGUGAGAUCUAUAAGGGUCACGUCGCGGUUCAUCAUAUAGUACUCUCUUACGAACUCACUAUAUGAGUUAGGAAGUGACUGAAGAACCCAAUCAACAGCCAUUUCCUCACAGACAACGGAUCCCAACAUUCUUAACCUAUCAAUGUGUGACUUCAUCCCUAGGACGUGUGCACACACCGACUUUCCUUCUUUAUGUUUACUUGCCAAAAGGGCUUGAGUGAUCUUGAACUUUUCAAGCCUUUGAACUUGUGGGUUAGGGAGAAUAAUUGGAGGAGGUGGAGGAAGUGAAGCAUGAUUUCUUGUUCCUCGAUCGAAUCGUGGAAUAUCAUCUUCAUAAGGAAGGCUUGUUCCACGGGAUUUGGGAAAACCAUAGUUGUCGAACUUUGACAUCUACAAAACGGGAGAAAACGAAUUCAAGUUAGUUGAUUGAUUGAGUCCUUAGUAAAUCACCCAAAUGAGAUACUAAGGCUAGGACCCAACACAAUAUUCUACAACUCGGGAGAGGGAUGCCGUAACCCUAAUUGCAGAAUAUUUGAAGGUAAGUGAAUGACGAUUCACUAAUUUCCACCAUGAAAAACGAAAAAGAAAUUUAAGUUUUAAAUCUAUGAAAACUCCUAGAUCCUUUGAGAUUCAUUGAACUUUCAAUGGCAUGUUUAAAUCUCGAUAUGCCCCUCUUGUUUGUGACUGGGAUGCCGAGGAUCACAAAGCGGGUGUGAAUAACCAUGCAAACUUACAUGGUGCCCUCACAUGUUACAGUCACCUAUUCGAUGUGCCGGUAAACCACACACGCUCCACCGAACUAUGACAAACAUUGAGUCACCCUUUGCUACCUUUGCUUAGAACCAUUUAGUGUGCCGGUAAACCACACACGCUCCACUAACGUCUUCGCAAGGGCACAAAGUGUAAUUUCAUGGAAUUGCAUCAAUUCACUUUUGCCUAAGUAACUAAGAUUGGGAAUUUUAUGAAAACAUUUAGUUACUUUAGUAAUUCAUUAUACUUAUAAUGGAAGGUUUUGUCCUAUCCUACCCGUUCGGCUAACGACCCUCCACUAGUCAAGAGUGCGGUGGGUAAGAGUGGAUACCCAUUCAAUCGCCAUUUUAUAGGCAAUUUCCUUAAACACCCCUUAUAGACUAGCUUCGUGAAUGAGGCCUACUAACGGUAAGACUGACUUUUACUCAUACAUAUAUAUAGUGUUAGACUUUUAAUGUUAUAUAUAGUAUAGGGUGUAUUUUACACUUUUAAAAUAUUAGGUGGUCAAAUUUAACAAUUAUACUUUUAAUUCAAUUAAAUUUUAAACCAAAAACUUUAUGGAUUUAUUAAACCUCUUUUAAUUAUACACCUUAAUUAAUUAAUAAAACCAUAAGGGUGUGAUUUGAACUUUUUCAAAACUAUAAUAGGGUUUUAGAAUUUAACAUUCCUAAUUAAACUUUUAAUCAACUUUUAAAUUCCAAAACUUGAGGGCAAGUUUUGAAACAUUUCAAAACAUUAGGGUUUAGAAUUUAAAUAUACAUCAAAAUUAAACCUUUUAAUCAAAAUUUAAAUUCCAAAACUUGAGGGCAAGUUUUGAAACUUUUCAAAACAAUUUAGUUUUAAUCUUUUUUAAAAAAUUUCGAAUUUAUGACAUUUAAAUUAAAAAAAUUAAAUAUUAAAACUCUUGAUUUAAUAAUUAUCUUGAAUUAGACUAUUAAUUUAAUUAUUAAAUCAUAAGGGAUUAUCUAAAUCAUGAGGAUAAUUACCAUUUAUACAUUUAAGAUAUCCUAAUCCCUUAAAUAUCUCUAUAGAUUUCGAAAAUAAGGAUAGGAUAAUGCAAAAUCUAUAAUUACCAUAUUUAACAAUUAGAGGAUAAUUACAAGAUAUGGGAUAAUCCAAAUCCCUAAAAUUUAGGAUCUUAUCUUGGGGAGGAGGCUAAUUUCGAAAAUCAAGGGAUUAAAACAAACCCUAGAUUUCGAAAUUUAAGGGUUUAAGGAAAGGAUUUGAAGAUCUUAUUCAAACUCUUGCAAAUUAGGGUUUGCAAACCCUAAUCUCGAAAAAAAAAACCUUAGCCUCCUAGGGUUUAUUGGCAAUAAACCCUAAUAUGUCAAGUUCAUACAAUUGAAUUUUUCAUACAUAUCAAGCAUCAAUACAAUAGAAACCAGUCUAGGCUCUGAUACCACUGAUGGGUUUUGGUCAUAAGACAUCCUAUGUGCUCAUACAAACCCUAAUGCUUGGAUCUAGGUUUCUCUAUUGUACAUGCUUUGAAUCCAAGACUAUAAACCCUAAUUCUAGCAUAUGGAAUUCGAUAUUAACAUAUAAUUAGGUUUAUGAUAUUACCUUGAUUGUUAUGUAGCAAUAACAAUCCCAAUUCCUCCUUGAAUUGACUUUGGAAGGCUUAGAGUCACAAGUGUCACUCCUCUAAUGGCUUACAAACACCAUAAGCAAGUGGAGAAGGUAUAAAGAGAGAGGAGAGAGGUAGAAAUUCGUCCUUA